Long non-coding RNA from Meriones unguiculatus (Mongolian gerbil), 1877 nucleotides. RefSeq lists it as uncharacterized. The transcript is spliced from 5 exons. Lineage: Eukaryota; Metazoa; Chordata; Mammalia; Rodentia; Muridae. The record is from RefSeq and is a predicted model, not a curated record.
AGACUGGUGAGCACAUGCUUUGAGAGUGACGCAAUUCCAACAUGGUUACGGAAGGGGCCGAGGAUGCCUGCCGGUCAGGGCUGAGCUGGAACAGAGUUCUUUCAAGGGCCCGACUCUUUUAGCAGGAACUCUGGUAGCUCAGGCAGGCCUCAAAUAGCAAGAAGCAGACGAUAACUUGAAAUCCUAACCCUCCUGCCUCCACCUUCUAACUACUGGGAGUACCAGGUGUGUGUCCAGACAAACCAUGUGCUUCCGUGCUAACAUACUUUUUAAAAUCAGAGUUGGAGGAAACUGUUUAUGAAGUAUGGCCAUUUAAGCAGAAUCGUUGACUAGUGGCAAACAUCCUAUAUGCCACCUUUCAAAAAAACAAGACCCAGAUGUAGAACUCUCAGCAGCUCCUCCAGCCCACGUCUGCCUGCACAAUGCCAUGCCUCCUGUCAUGACUCAAUGGACUGAUGGACUAAACCUCUGAAACUAUAAUCCAGCCCAAAUUAAAUGCUUUUCUUUAUGAAGCUGUCUCUCCAGUGAAUGGAGUUGCUGAGUGGUUGCAACAGUCCGCACAGCCUGCAGAAUGACUCUCUGCUGCCUUAGAGGGAAAGCAUGCUGAUUUCGGGUGGCCCCACCACAGCUCUUCAUUUCCUGCAUCUCUGAGAACAUCCUUACCUCACUGAACUACUGCUCAGGCUGUCCUGGAACUCUCUCUGUAGAUCAGACUGGCCUUGUACUCACAGAAAUCCACCUGGGACUAAAGCUGGGACAUUAGUGUCCCAUGUGCCACCACUGCCCGUAGAACUUGGAUUCUGAGUUCAUUUUUCUAAUCGUGACUGUUGAGAAAGCUCUUGGAUCAAGCCAAACCAUUGUCCCCUGGUGCACUGCUGGAAACAGUCAUGUUCUUACCUCGUGUUAAGAGGUUGGGUUCACCUGGUGGAGAUUGACACAUGGGUGGUUUCACUAUGAAUUGCUGUCAGAUGUCCCUAGAAAGAACAGAGAUCCUGUUUCUUCUCCUGAGGUGCAGAACAACAUGGAGCCUGGAAACGUGAACGCCCGGAAGGCGGGAACAUCCAGCCAAGCUGGUAAUGGGGCUCCUGGGACAGCCAUGAGACAGCCAUGAGGUGGAUAAGCCAUUGCAUCUUCACUGCUCAUCAUCAAAGGAGGAUGACAACACAUCUACAGAUCUUCCAACAUUGGUGGACUCUGCCUGAGGCCUUCCAUGAAAAGGGGCCAGUACCAUGUAUGGUGCGAAGGACUCUUCCAAUAAACGCCAACCAUUUUUACUGGUAUCACCAGGUAGAACAACAACAACAACGAAAAAGAAAACGAAUACAUUUUUUUUUCAGUUCUGGGGUUGCUACGUGCAUGGUCUAUCAGUGAGCUCCACCCCCAGGCCCCAAACACACAUUCCUUGAUGGCAGAAGGAAGAUGAGCAGUAACUGUCUUUUUAUUUCCUACAAACCCUGAAUCAAGGGGUGAACAUCAGCUGUCCUGCUCACUCAUUUAUGAUGGAUGGAAAUGCCUGGAAAAUAGAUAAACCUAUUAUCCAUUUUAAGUCAGCAUUGAAAGCUUUAGGCCAAGUCAGCUCUUUAGUCUUUGAUGGGUUUUGUUUUUACAUUAACAUCCAUCCAACGAAAGGAGGAAGCACGCAUUGGUCACUGAUGUGUCAGGAGUGGCCAAUAAACAGUGAUAGAGGAUCUUUUGUCUCCUUGCAAUCAACAGUGAAACUCCUCCUCACCAAUGUGCUCGAUAAACAACAUCUGGAGUCAUCUUUCUCCAGAAGGGCUCAUUUCGUGAUGUCUGUUAAAAGUGCUCUUUCUUUCUCUCUCUCUUUCCCUCUCUCUCUCCUUCCUUUUUUCCCUUUCUCUCUCUUAAAGCAUAGUAAC